UCCCUUGUGGCUCAGUUGGUAGAGCAUGUCCUUUGCAAUGCCAGGGUUGUGGGUUUGAUUCCCCACAUGGGAC
Molecule: transfer RNA, 73 nt
Filed under: Salmo salar (Atlantic salmon)
Lineage: Eukaryota; Metazoa; Chordata; Actinopteri; Salmoniformes; Salmonidae
Also listed under: 1 other name
Rfam family: tRNA
About the family: Transfer RNA (tRNA) molecules are approximately 80 nucleotides in length. Their secondary structure includes four short double-helical elements and three loops (D, anti-codon, and T loops).
Source: Rfam by way of RNAcentral